Lutra lutra (Eurasian river otter) is the source of this 1303-nucleotide long non-coding RNA. RefSeq lists it as uncharacterized. Lineage: Eukaryota; Metazoa; Chordata; Mammalia; Carnivora; Mustelidae. The record is from RefSeq and is a predicted model, not a curated record. The transcript is spliced from 3 exons.
UGGAGGCCAGUAGCACUCCUCCCCUCCCCCACUGUGACAAGCAGAAAUGUCACGGGCAUGGCCAAAUGUCUGGGGAAGGGCAAAGCAGCCUGGGGUUGAUUUUGAUGUAUGACAAAACCUGGCUCGGCAGCCACAGUGACAGCUGGUUGGAGGGGCCCACACCAGUAAGCAGGUCCAGCUGGUCACUGCCCCGCCCAGCGGGUGCUCCGCAGGAAGGCUCAGGAACGCCAGCUGAGACACACAGAACUUGGUGGUUUGCAAACUGUGGAGGUAGGCUAGGGUGCUAGUCCUACCCGUUUUACAGCCUGACUGACUCAUCCCGGCAAGGGGCCAUUCACCGCCACACUGCGGGCAGAGCCCUGCAUGCCCCCCUCUUCCUCGAAUGCUCUUUUGUGGUACGUGAUCGCUGAGAUGUCAAAGAAUCAGUAUUUGGAAGUAAAAGAAAGAAUUCACAUCUGCCUUGAGCUCCAGUCCCCAAUUUACCCCACACAAAACCCAGGGUCCACGGACGAACUGCUUCUGGAAGCAGAUUGUGAUACUGACUUCUUCCCUGGGUUGCAAGGAGAAAGACAGCCCCGAGAGCAGAGCACCUCUCCCUAAGGAAGGAGGAGUAGUGCCUCGCAACAUCCUUCCCCUAAGAACCUUGGCGGAUCUUCACUAACCCAAAGGGCAGAUUCCUUACCUCCACUAUGAGGUGGUGCAAAGAAUUCUCAGUCAGUGAGGCCGUAAAGCUUCCAUGGAUACUAAUAUGAGAAGACAGUGUCAUUCGGUACCAGGACCCUCAAACAGUGGCGAGACUAAGAAAAUACUGACAUCUAACUUCACUAACUUUCUUCCAGAGAAGGGUGUGCAGAGUGUUGUCACAUUCUAAUGCCCCAGGUAUGAUCACGUCCUACACAACUUGCCAGCAACACACAAUGCCCCCGAAGGCCGGGCGUUCGCUUUAGCAAAUGUGCACCUCUCUCAAGGAGUGGGGACCUUAUGAGUUUGAGUGAGAAAUGCCACUGUUCGCAAAUUUUGUCAGGUGCAUAGGUCUGGCUCUGCAGACAUUUUAUAGGGAAGACUUACUGUAGUCCUAUGCGGAUAGCGGUUUGCAAGGAGCUUCAAUAAAGGGAUCGAAUGCAGAACAGCAGAAUCGAAUCUCAUCUCAGGAUGGGCAUUUUAUAGGCCACGCCUGCUGUACCUUUUAGUUCUCCCCUUUCUGGUCGUACCAAAGGUCAACUUCAAGUAACAAUGAUUGACUCCUAGCUGUAGGAGGUGACAACCUGUGAAAAGUGGCUGCCAAUUACACAAAGAAUUAGUA